RNAcentral lists this microRNA precursor (196 nucleotides) under Oryza nivara. RNAcentral's name for it is "MIR812 microRNA precursor family". It matches the Rfam family "MIR812 microRNA precursor family". Lineage: Eukaryota; Viridiplantae; Streptophyta; Magnoliopsida; Poales; Poaceae. The record is from Rfam by way of RNAcentral.
AAAGAGUGUAGCUUUAUAUUAUUCGUAUCCAAUGUUUGACCAUUCGUCUUAUUUAUUUUUUUUUAUAAUUAAUAUUAUGUUAUUAGAUGAUAAAACAUGAAUAAUACUUUAUGUACGACUAUUCUAUUUUAUUUUUUUAUAAAACUUUUAAAUAAGAUUGACGGUCAUACAUUCAACACGGAUAUCCACACUACAG